This 75-nucleotide transfer RNA is filed under the name Candidatus Omnitrophota bacterium. Its description in RNAcentral is "Candidatus Omnitrophica bacterium tRNA-Glu". It matches the Rfam family "tRNA". From Rfam's summary of the family: Transfer RNA (tRNA) molecules are approximately 80 nucleotides in length. Their secondary structure includes four short double-helical elements and three loops (D, anti-codon, and T loops). The record is from RNAcentral. Lineage: Bacteria; Pseudomonadati; Candidatus Omnitrophota.
GACCCCAUCGUCUAGCCCGGCCUAGGACAUCGCCCUUUCACGGCGACGACGCCGGUUCAAAUCCGGCUGGGGUCG